CAAUUCAACAAAUUUGCUUGUUUAGCUUUAUUUUUUCAGGCCGAUCUCCUUCUCACAGGCUGCCUGACCUCAACCCGCCUGGAUAUGAGCCGUCGCGAGGUUGUUCGGAGGGUAGAGGAGAGUGUGGCCAUCCUGACGGACGCAAACCUGGAGCGCCACUUCACUGAGAGUGAGCAUGUAGUGAAAACGAUCAAGGUGAUCCAGGAGACCCCGCUGGCACACCUGAAAGAUAUUCGGGGAAUAAUUAUUAAACUGAUAGCGCUCUAUAACGCCUCCUGAACCGGCAGGUAGGAGUACCUAGAGAUUGAGCUGGAGACAGUGAAGGUGCUGACCUUUGUGUGGAACACUAAGAAGCUGGCAAGUUUUCAUAUUGAAGGGCAUGGUUCCCAACCGCCCAUCACACACAGAAUGUAGCUUGUCCUCUUCCGCAGUAAAAACUGUACCAUUUUAAAAUGGAGGGGAUGGUGUUGGAGAUGCUACGGAGACUAAAGGGCAACAUGACUUGCAAGAACUUCACCAUAAUAUCCUGAAGAGGAACAUUAGCUUGUCCAGGACCACUUCGCAAGCAAUGACCCACAAGUACUGGACAUUGCUAGAACUGCUCUGCGGGUAUGUUGCUGGGUGCUGCAAGAUGCUUUCUGCUAUAUUGACUGCUUCCGAGCGCUUCCUGGACCUAAAACUUAUCUCCCAGCAGCAACCUCCCCAAGGUGUGACGAGAGUCUUCAAGUGUUCCAGACGGCUGGUGAUGCAUUUCAAGAAAAGCCAUCAGAAUCUUGCAAUGAUCUGUAUACUUAAUAAAUGACAAAACAACAACA
Long non-coding RNA from Dreissena polymorpha, 815 nucleotides. RefSeq lists it as uncharacterized. The record is from RefSeq and is a predicted model, not a curated record. The transcript has 5 exons. Lineage: Eukaryota; Metazoa; Mollusca; Bivalvia; Myida; Dreissenidae.